UACGUAGGUGGCGAGCGUUACUCGGAUUUACUAGGCGUAAAGCGCAUGUAGGGGUCCAGGUAAGUUUCUGGUUAAAUACUUCUGCUUAACAGAAGAACUGCCAGGAAAACUGCCUGGAUUGAGUGUGGGAGGAGGAGACGGAAUUCCCGGUGUAGCGGUGAAAUGCGUAGAUAUCGGGAAGAACACCGAUGGCGAAAGCGGUCUCCUGGCCCAAUACUGACGCUGAGAUGCGAAAGCUAGGGGAGCAAACAGG
Molecule: ribosomal RNA, 253 nt
Filed under: uncultured bacterium
Lineage: Bacteria
Description: partial 16S ribosomal RNA
Rfam family: Bacterial small subunit ribosomal RNA
Source: RNAcentral